This 496-nucleotide ribosomal RNA is filed under the name uncultured bacterium. Its description in RNAcentral is "SSU rRNA". It matches the Rfam family "Bacterial small subunit ribosomal RNA", at positions 26 to 517 of the family's 1533-position model. The record is from RNAcentral.
AGGAUGAACGCUAGCGGCAGGCUUAAUACAUGCAAGUCGAGGGGUAACAUGGUAGCAAUACUGAUGACGACCGGCAAACGGGUGCGGAACACGUACAGAACCUUCCUUUAAGCGGGGGAUAGCCCAUAGAAAUGUGGAUUAAUACCCCAUAGUAAUGUUUAAUGGCAUCAUUAGAUAUUUAAAGAUUUAUCACUUAAAGAUGGCUGUGCGGCUGAUUAGGUAGUUGGUGUAGGUAACGGCUCACCAAGCCAUCGAUCAGUAACUGGUGUGAGAGCACGACCAGUCACACGGGCACUGAGACACGGGCCCGACUCCUACGGGAGGCAGCAGUAAGGAAUAUUGGUCAAUGGACGCAAGUCUGAACCAGCCAUGCCGCGUGAAGGAUGAAGGCCCUCUGGGUUGUAAACUUCUUUUAUCUAGGGAAGAAAUGCCUGUUUUCUAACGGGUUUGACGGUACCAGAGGAAUAAGCACCGGCUAACUCCGCGCCAGCAGCCG